RNAcentral lists this ribosomal RNA (468 nucleotides) under uncultured bacterium. RNAcentral describes it as "partial 16S ribosomal RNA". It matches the Rfam family "Bacterial small subunit ribosomal RNA", at positions 28 to 507 of the family's 1533-position model. The record is from RNAcentral.
GACGAACGCUGGCGGCGUGCUUAACACAUGCAAGUCGAACGGAAAGGCCCUGCUUUUGUGGGGUGCUCGAGUGGCGAACGGGUGAGUAACACGUGAGUAACCUGCCCUUGACUUUGGGAUAACUUCAGGAAACUGGGGCUACUACCGGAUAGGAGCUCCUGCUGCAUGGUGGGGGUUGGAAAGUUUCGGCGGUUGGGGAUGGACUCGCGGCUUAUCAGCUUGUUGGUGGGGUAGUGGAUUACCAAGGCUUUGACGGGUAGCCGGCCUGAGAGGGUGACCGGCCACAUUGGGACUGAGAGACGGCCCAGACUCCUACGGGAGGCAGCAGUGGGGAAUAUUGCACAAUGGGCGGAAGCCUGAUGCAGCAACGCCGCGUGCGGGAUGACGGCCUUCGGGUUGUAAACCGCUUUCGCCUGUGACGAAGCGUUAGUGACGGUAAUGGGUAAAGAAGCACCGGCUAACUACGUG